Molecule: transfer RNA, 73 nt
Filed under: Klebsiella michiganensis
Lineage: Bacteria; Pseudomonadati; Pseudomonadota; Gammaproteobacteria; Enterobacterales; Enterobacteriaceae
Description: tRNA-Asp
Rfam family: tRNA (bases 13-70)
About the family: Transfer RNA (tRNA) molecules are approximately 80 nucleotides in length.
Source: RNAcentral
GGAACAGUAAGUGGAGCGGUAUACCUGCCUGUCACGCAGGGGGUCGCGGGUUCGAGUCCCGUCCGUUCCGCCA